This 301-nucleotide ribosomal RNA is filed under the name uncultured bacterium. RNAcentral's name for it is "partial 16S ribosomal RNA". It matches the Rfam family "Bacterial small subunit ribosomal RNA", at positions 509 to 807 of the family's 1533-position model. The record is from RNAcentral.
CAGCAGCCACGGUAAUACGUAGGUGGCAAGCGUUGUCCGGAAUUAUUGGGCGUAAAGGGCUCGCAGGCGGUUUCUUAAGUCUGAUGUGAAAGCCCCCGGCUCAACCGGGGAGGGUCACUGGAAACUGGGAAACUUGAGUGCAGAAGAGGAGAGUGGAAUUCCACGUGUAGCGGUGAAAUGCGUAGAGAUGUGGAGGAACACCAGUGGCGAAGGCGACUCUCUGGUCUGUAACUGACGCUGAGGAGCGAAAGUGUGGGGAGCGAACAGGAUUAGAUACCCCGGUAGUCCCUGUCUCUUAUAC